RNAcentral lists this ribosomal RNA (396 nucleotides) under Triticum aestivum (bread wheat). RNAcentral's name for it is "partial small subunit ribosomal RNA". The record is from RNAcentral. Lineage: Eukaryota; Viridiplantae; Streptophyta; Magnoliopsida; Poales; Poaceae.
AUGAAACUCAACCUAUCGUCUCUGCUCCGUCACCAAGUGGACUUUGAUAGCCUCACUGCCCCGUUUGCAACGCAUGAAAUUGAUGCUGCGAUUAAGGAAAUGCCCCCGGACAAAGCCCCGGGCCCGGAUGGUUUCAAUGGAGCCUUUCUGAAAGCUUGUUGGCCUAUCAUUAAAAAUGAUUUCUACAGCUUAUGCAAUGAAUUUCACAGAGGAGACUUGAAUCUUGAAAGCUUAAAUUAUGGUUAUAUCACUCUGAUACCAAAGAAUGCCUCCCAGGAGACGGUCAAUGACUUCCGCCUAAUCACUUUGCUCAAUUGUUGCCUUAAGCUGAUCACCAAACUACUGGUCAAUCGUCUCCAAAAAAUCAUCUUGCAGAUAGUCCACCGUAAUCAGUAG